UAAACACAAUUAAAAUCCUUCCAGAGCGCAUUGAGAUGGCAAACCGCAUCUGUUGUGUUCUAACAAAAAUACACCCCAAACAGCCUGCAUCUAUUUUGUAAAUUAAACUAUAUAGAGAGAGAGAGACUUUAACCUAACUAAAUCGACUUGAAUCAUAAUCCUAAUAAAAUAAAACGAAACAGUCGGCUUUAAAAGCGCUUCUGAAUCCUCUCCACGCGCACUGAGCGCGCAGUGCCGCUUGCUCCCUCACGAGGGCGCUCAGGGCUAGGCGACAGCAGCAGAUCUGGGCCGCUCUCCGAAAUCAAGACAUCCAGCUAAAAACCCGCACAAACUUCAUCUCAGAGCUCCAGUGUUGUGACAACUCUAAUGUGUGUUACAAAAGUAGGCCAAGGCAUCAAGAGGGGCGGCCGAUGUGUAACACAGCUAUCGUUAUUGUUAACAUUAAUAUUGCAUUUGCAGUUAAACGAAGAGUUCAGCACGCAACCCAUAGUAUCAUGACACUGCGCCACAGCAGCGCCAGACAGAGGAACACGCGCGUCUUUGAUGAGGUCAAACUGAAACAGAAGCAGGAGACGUGUUUGUGAGAGAGGGAGGCGAGUGUCUGCAGCUAGAGGGCAGUCAUGUACGGGGGCCGUGGAGACCUGGAGACGGACAGAAGAAAGGUCAAACACCUCCUCUUUCUUCACACUCACUCUCCAUCCUCUCACACUCAGGUCUGCCACUCCAUCAGUCGACCUCCGACUUUAACAAGUGUCUCCAUGCUGUAAUUAACUGCUCUGGUUAGAGUUCAUUAAAGUCAGAUCCAGGAUCAGUUUCCCAUAAUCAGAUUCUUAUCGCACACAUUAUGUCUGGAAUCCAAAUCUGGCCACGGACCAGAGGAGAAGCACAUUACCUUCAACAGACACUUUUACACAUGAUGCACUGUGAGUCAGGGAAA
This is a long non-coding RNA of Onychostoma macrolepis, 937 nucleotides long. RefSeq lists it as uncharacterized. The record is from RefSeq and is a predicted model, not a curated record. Lineage: Eukaryota; Metazoa; Chordata; Actinopteri; Cypriniformes; Cyprinidae. The transcript has 3 exons.